GGUGAUUGAACAGUAAGAUUCACGUGCUUUUUACUUCACCAGAAAUCUUCGACAGAUUGCCCGUAAUUUCCGCAAAGCUGAUUGUGCAUGUGACAGGUGCUGACGAGGCUGAAAAAGCAGGUGCUUCUUCGAUUUCUGAGAUCGGCCCUCAUGGUCUCUGAGCAGCCCAGCUUUUGAGAAAGCAAACGCCUCUUCGAUUU
This 200-nucleotide long non-coding RNA is filed under the name Malus domestica (apple). RNAcentral's name for it is "long non-coding RNA (MDOM_LNC003723)". The record is from RNAcentral. Lineage: Eukaryota; Viridiplantae; Streptophyta; Magnoliopsida; Rosales; Rosaceae.